Hyla sarda is the source of this 558-nucleotide long non-coding RNA. RefSeq lists it as uncharacterized. Lineage: Eukaryota; Metazoa; Chordata; Amphibia; Anura; Hylidae. The record is from RefSeq and is a predicted model, not a curated record. The transcript has 3 exons.
UCACACACACACAGCUCUGCUGCAUACACAUAACUUCAGCUCAUCCAGCAGCGAUCACAACCAGCACAGCAGAGUCCUGCAUACACUGAGCAGAUGAGCCUAGAGCAGCAGCCCCUGAUCAUGUGACUCCUCCUCCUCCUCCAUGUGACUGAUCACAUGACUGUGACAUCAUCGCAGGUCCUGUAAGUACACGGCUCCUGUACAGUCUGCAGGUGGAGGUAUAUACGGUUGUGGUGACAUCAGGAGCGCUGGGGGAGGGGACAUUACUAUUAACCCCUUCAGGUACACAAAGAAGAAGAUCACAAGAUCCAGAACUUUCUGUGUUUCUCCAAUCCAGGAUCCUCUGCUGAUAUCUUCUAUAUAAGAGAAUUCUCCUGGUUGACCCAUCAACCAUGGAGAGAGACAGGAACAAGAUGGCCGACAGGAUCAUAAACCUCACCCUACAGAUACUCUUCCGGCUUACUGGAGAGGAUUACACAGUAGUGAAGAAGCCCUCUAGUGGGCGCUGUCGGGCCCCAGUGUGUGAAGGAUUGGGAAGAACCCUGAGCCCAAUCCCGA